ACGAACGCUGGCGGCGUGCCUAAUACAUGCAAGUAGAACGCUGAAGGAGGAGCUUGCUUCUCUGGAUGAGUUGCGAACGGGUGAGUAACGCGUAGGUAACCUGCCUGGUAGCGGGGGAUAACUAUUGGAAACGAUAGCUAAUACCGCAUAAUAGCAGUUGUUGCAUGACAACUGUUUGAAAGGUGCAAUUGCACCACUACCAGAUGGACCUGCGUUGUAUUAGCUAGUUGGUGGGGUAACGGCUCACCAAGGCGACGAUACAUAGCCGACCUGAGAGGGUGAUCGGCCACACUGGGACUGAGACACGGCCCAGACUCCUACGGGAGGCAGCAGUAGGGAAUCUUCGGCAAUGGACGGAAGGCUGACCGAGCAACGCCGCGUGAGUGAAGAAGGUUUUCGGAUCGUAAAGCUCUGUUGUAAGAGAAGAACGAGUGUGAGAGUGGAAAGUUCACACUGUGACGGUAUCUUACCAGAAAGGGACGGCUAACUACGUG
Molecule: ribosomal RNA, 494 nt
Filed under: uncultured bacterium
Lineage: Bacteria
Description: partial 16S ribosomal RNA
Rfam family: Bacterial small subunit ribosomal RNA
Source: RNAcentral